AGCAGCCGCGGUAAUUCCAGCUCCAAUAGCGUAUAUUAAAGUUGUUGCAGUUAAAAAGCUCGUAGUUGAAUUUCGGGAUCAAUAUGUUGGUCGUGCCUCGGUACGUACUAGCUUAUUGGUUUCUCCCUUCUGACGAACCAUGAUGUCAUUUAUUUGGUGUUGUGGGAAAUCAGGACUGUUACUUUGAAAAAUUAGAGUGUUUAAAGCAAGCUAACGCUUGAAUACAUUAGCAUGGAAUAAUGAAAUAGGACGUUCGAUCCUAUUUUGUUGGUUUCUAGGAUUGACGUAAUGAUUAAUAGGGAUAGUUGGGGGCAUUAGUAUUCAAUUGUCAGAGGUGAAAUUCUUGGAUUUAUUGAAGACUAACUACUGCGAAAGCAUUUGCCAAGGAUGUUUUCAUUAAUCAAGAACGAAAGUUAGGGGAUCGAAGACGAUCAGAUACCGUCGUAGUCU
Molecule: ribosomal RNA, 450 nt
Filed under: uncultured Glomeromycotina
Lineage: Eukaryota; Fungi; Glomeromycota
Description: SSU rRNA
Rfam family: Eukaryotic small subunit ribosomal RNA
Source: RNAcentral